CUGAUCAAAUCAAUUCUAUUAAAGUUAGAUUGGUCAUGUCAAACAAAGUUAGAUUCAUUGAUGACUAUAUAAAUAUCCAAAUUGAAAAAUAAAAAUACACUUUUUUAUCCCCCAAACUGGGAAAAUAAACAAAUCCAAAAAACGAAACAUGCCAUAAAGAAAAUUAGUUGGGAAAUCAUAAUAACGACCAACAAAAGCUCUGCAGCUACAUCACCAUCAGCAUCCUCACAUCCUCACGCUCCACCUGAAAACGAUGAAAGUUAAUGCAUGUAAUAUCAUGUACGCAGCAACCUAAACGAAAUUCAAGGAUCUCAUAGACUCAUACAUUUCUAAACUCCAUAGAUGUCAAACAAGAAAACCACUCUAUAGAAUGCAUUUAGAUUUACAAGAAGGAUUUUUUUGUUACACCCCCAUGUGAUGGGAAAGAGAGAACAAAAAUGUGUAAGAUGAUACUAUAAAUUAGUGCCAAAAAUUUGUGGUUGUUAAAUUGACUCCACAUACCUUGGUAUUUCUUCCACUUUUCAAAAGUUAACUCCUAAAAAUGAGGAUGAAACUUGUUAGAUAUUUUAUAGAUACGUAGGUAAGAUAUGCAGAUAUCUUAUUGUUAAUUGUAAAUACUAAACGGUAAUAAUGAUAUUCAGUUUCUCCUUAUUCAACACGGUAUACGUGUUUUCCCGUGAACCCACAGUAGUGAACCACCUGUCCAUGGGUGCAAUUCUACUCAAAAAACCAUGUCUCGUCUCCGGUUCCGGCUCUUCCCUCUCCUUUCAGAGAGGCCCCAUGUUCCAUAUAAUUUAAUGCCACUACCUCCUUUACAAGUAUACCAAUGUCAACAUCGACCACUUCCCUCCUCUCUAUCACUACUAGCUGGCAACAGACCCAUUCACUAUCAUCCGGGGCCAACUCCUCUGUCCCCUUCAACCCCACCAUGUGUAGGAUUUUGGGAUGUUGUUAUUCGCAGCAAAGUAGCUCUGGGAAACAGUCUCUCGUAUGAUGACAAAGUUUAUGCAUGAGUAGUGGGAUACUCUGUUGUAAGCUCCCCUACUAACAAUAUAUCCCCUUCACGCUACUGCAUUUUCAUUGGUGGCAAUUUGAUGUCUUGUAAAAGACAGAAACAAACUAUAAUGGCAAUGGCAGAAACGGAAUAUCAGGCCAUGCCUCCGCAACCCGUGAGCUUAUAUGGCUCAAACAGCUACUUAAAGAGCUGAGGUUUGGAGAUACUACGCAGAUGACACUGAUUUGCUAUAAUCAAGCAGCCCCACAAGUUGCAUCACAACCGUGUUUCAUGAAAUGACCAAGCACAUUUUGAUCAAUUGUCAUUUUAUUAGACAGAAGAUUAUAUCAGGGGACAUCACCACAAACUUCGUAAGUUCAAACAAUCAAUUGGCAGAUGUCUUUACUAGGUCUUUGAGAGUUCCUAAAAUUAGUUAUAUAUGUAACAAGCAUGAUGCAUAUAAUUUAUAUGCUAUAGCUUAAGGGAGAAUAUUAGAUAUCUUGUAGAUGUAGAAUAUCUUAUUGUUAAAUAGAUUAGCAGGAUGCCUUAUUGUUAAUUGAAAAUAGGGUAAAAAAUUGUACAAUUAUUUCACCUAUUAUAGAUAAUAGACUCCGUAGUAUAGUUGAAACUUGAAACAUGUGAAUUCAAUCUAAUGUUGUCUCUCAGAUUCUCUCUAUUCAACAGAAAUAAUUGGAGCCUUUUACUCUUGUAACGCAGGAAUGUUAACAGCAAAAUUAAAAGCUAAAAACUUAGGCAUAAUUAUGUUAUAAUUUACAGUUAGCAAAGCAAACAAAGAACUAUAAUGAGUAAUAUAAAGCAAGAGAAAGGGAAUGAACUCAAAUUUGAUCGAUACACAUAACAAUCAGUAUAAAACAUGCACAUAUGACAUCUGUAGCAUGUAGCUUUGUUUUCAAUAUAAUAUGAUUAUUGUCAAAAAAUAAUAUAUAUAUAUAUAUAUAAUAUGUGUACUACUUCAAAAUAUGAUAUUUUCAAAUAGGUCCCUCUUUUUGCUGUAAUCCCCGCUUUCAACAAAUAGUGUGCUUAGUCCCGUACUAGGGUACUUUUAGCGAGUAAAAAGUAAAAACACAAGUUUCAAAUUUUCAGACUAAAACCAAAGAAAAUUAAAGCGGGGCUAAUAACAAAAAAUGACAUUUUUAGGUAUCGAAAACAUAUUCCAAGUCUAAAAUAUUUCCACAAUUUACCAACAUCGGUCUUAAAAGUUUAGAGCAAUUAAAGUCUACUAUGUGUCUAAAGCCUCAUUUACUUAAACUCAGUAUUGGAAGCCUUCCAACUACAAAACAAUAUGAACAAUAUAUAUUGGAAUAAUAAUACAAUAAAAGCUCGCGAAUGAAGUGGCUAAGUUGUCAUUCAUAGAAAUUAGGCCCCGUUUGGAUAAACAGCUUAAUUAAGAGCUUAUGGUCAUAAGCGCUUAUGACAUAAGCGCUUAUGACAUAAGCGCUUAUUCAUAAGCUAUUUUUAAAAAUUUAUUGAAAUAAAUUAAAAAUAAGCUGUGUAUAAGCAUAAGCUGUUUUUCAUAAGCUAUCCUGAGUAGCUUAUGAAAAUAAGCUGAAAAUAGCUUAUGGCAGACCAUAAGCUGUUUGCAUAAGCUCUCCCAAACACUGGCAUAAGAGCUUAUGCUGUCAGAUAAGCUCAAAUAAGCUCUUCCAAACUGGGCCUUAAUCCAAAGUACAAAAUCCAGCAGCAUUUACAGGAACAGGCCAAUUUUAAUAGAGGGAACAGUAUAUAGUUACCUUCAAGAUUAACAUGACCUUCAUCAGAUUCUACUUCUUAUUCCUGUUCAGUUCAAAAACAAAUUAAGAAAUUAAAUAUAGGCAACACAUUAACAAGUUAAAUUUCAAAUAGUACUGAUUGAACACAAUUGGCAGCCGAGAGAAAUGGAUUAGAAAAUACAAACCUCUUCAUCCUGUGAAAGGUAAAAAUCAAUUCCUUAGGGGAUUUGAAAUUAUCUCCUGGUGAAACUCCUUUUUUUAUGCAUUGAUGAAGCCACCUUUGAGAAAACUAAACAAUAUUGAAAAACAAAAAUCAGGGAAAGCCAAGACAACAUGGAAUUUAGCAGCCGUAAUAUAAGGAUUUACUAUAUAACCAUUUCUUUCAAACAAUGUCUUCUUAUCCUAUCUUCUAUUGUAGCUUCUUCCUUCCUUGGAGCUGUUGGUACUUUCACCCUGUAAAACAGACCAACGUGUUAAAUCAGGCUACGGUUAUAGAAACUGCUACGAACUUUCACAAAAUACAACAGCCUUAAAUAUAGAUUAAGGAGACGAAAUUGUAUUAUAAUGUAAAUUUAUAAUUGUACCCAAAAGGCUGUACCAAAAAAAGAAUAAAACAGAGACAAUAUGCAGAAAUUGGAUGAAAGAAUUCCAAAAAUCAUAACCAAUAUUAACGGGGAAACGUUCAAAUUCAAGCAUACAUAACAAACAAAAUGUGAGGCUGUAACAGAUCCUACAGCAUAUUCAAAUAAUACGUAAACGUAAAAAUAACAAUGAUCUGAAGAAUACCGAUAUGAACACAACAUUGAAAUAAAAUCCAAUUCAAAUACUGGACUGGACAAGGGAACAUAUAAAGAAACUAAAU
Molecule: long non-coding RNA, 3586 nt
Filed under: Lotus japonicus
Lineage: Eukaryota; Viridiplantae; Streptophyta; Magnoliopsida; Fabales; Fabaceae
Description: long non-coding RNA (LJAP_LNC002205)
Source: RNAcentral